ACAGUGGUGGUUCAGUGGUAGAAUUCUCGCCUUCCACGCAGAAGACGUGGGUUCGAUUCCUGGCCAAUGUA
This 71-nucleotide transfer RNA is filed under the name Loxodonta africana (African savanna elephant). It matches the Rfam family "tRNA". Rfam says of the family: Transfer RNA (tRNA) molecules are approximately 80 nucleotides in length. Their secondary structure includes four short double-helical elements and three loops (D, anti-codon, and T loops). Further hydrogen bonds mediate the characteristic L-shaped molecular structure. tRNAs have two regions of fundamental functional importance: the anti-codon, which is responsible for specific mRNA codon recognition, and the 3' end, to which the tRNAs corresponding amino acid is attached (by aminoacyl-tRNA synthetases). tRNAs cope with the degeneracy of the genetic code in two manners: having more than one tRNA (with a specific anti-codon) for a particular amino acid; and 'wobble' base-pairing, i.e. permitting non-standard base-pairing at the 3rd anti-codon position. Lineage: Eukaryota; Metazoa; Chordata; Mammalia; Proboscidea; Elephantidae. The record is from Rfam by way of RNAcentral.